AUAAGAACUCAAACCUUCAUUAACUUUAAAUAUAUGUCUCAACCAAAGUAAUAACACAAUGAACAAAGUACUGCUAUAAUAAACAUGAUCUCUAACUACAAGUUUGUAACUAUGUUUGGCAUAAUAAAAUAAAACUAAAUAUGAGUUCUCUUAUUGAUCUCUUCAUGCCCCAUUAGCACCAACCAUCACCAAUAAAAAAUUCUAUAAUUCUUCAUUCUUCUAGCUGUCCAUCACCAACAAAUAGGCAUAAAGCUUUCUCUAAAUAUUUUUGCUAUCCACGCUUUCCUGCAAUUCAUGAACACAUAUAAUUUAUUAAUUUAAUAUAGGAACCUUGGUGAUUAAGUGCAUGGAAUAACUAAUCACGUGCAAACUAAAUGAUCAUAGUGACAUAGUAAAGAUAUAAACUAAAUUAAGGAACACUCUGCAGUAAUAUCAUAUACCGUUUGAGAUGACAAGAUCCCCACCAGUUUGAUGAACUUUAUUGACAUAUCAUACAAAGCAUAUUACCCACCAUUUCAAAGACAAAUCACAUUGGUAUUAAUACCUGCUAUCUUUUCUUUUGAUUACGAGUCCUCAAUAGUUGUUGGGUAGAAACAUAAUUCAAUGACCCAUUGGAACCAUUCUUUUUCUGAAAAAGAGUCCUGGUUGCACUAGUCAUUGUUGUCAUGGUAGUACCUUCAUCAACUAACGUUUCUGUGGUUAACACGCUUACUGGUUCAUUAUUCUACCAAAAUGAAAGCUUUGAUGUGAACAAGUUGCAUUUUAUAUGUAAACAUGUUGCAUCUUCUGUAAGUAACCUUGUUGUAUUUGUAUUACCUCUAUAGCCGCAUCCUCUAUGCGUGGUGGUGUGAUGAAGUUGUUGUUGACACUUGGUCCAUUUGGAACUUGUGUGGUAUACUCAACAAGUCUAACCCCAUCCACAGAGGGGGAUACAAUGCAGAAUAUGCACAGGAUAUAUCAAGGAUAAUGCUAAGGUUUAUUUGCCAUAAAGCUAGGUUUUUCAACACAUGCAGAGUUUCAUUUUUGAAAGGGGUUUUCACAAAACAUUUUCUUUAGUAUCCGAAUCAAUAAGAGGGGUUGAUCCUACACAAAGGAUCCAAUUUUUAAUGCCACUAGACUCCCCAUCCACAGUAGCUCACACCACAACUGCCGGACACCUUCCAAAAUUCAACUCACACCGUGCGAACCAUUCAUCACCCAAACACUAGUUAUGUGUCCAAGCCGUAACUCGUCCAAUGCCGUGGGCAUGGCUAGGGUAGGUUUUAACUCUGCAGAGGUUGUACACUUUACCCACAAGUAGGGUACCACAACACGAUCACCUUAGUGUCGGUGCAGAUCCUAACAAAGCCAUUACCCACCUUAGCUAAGACUGACUAGCCAACACGGAAGCAACCAAGGGGCUAAUGACCUUCCAACGAGGUCUUAACUGGGAUCGAAGUUCACAAAAUUUUUAGUCCUUCUCCAUGGUCUCCCGUUGCUCACCAGCUCUCUUGAUGGUUAACAGUCCAGCUAGUGGGAUUUAUGCUAAGCCGCCGCCCACACAACAGUCAAGUGGUUGCACGAUAGUGGGUUAGGCAAGAUGGCACAUCAAAUUGGUCCUUAACUGUGACUAGAUGGAUAUCUCCCAACCUUGCCCAACCACAAAGGUACGAGCCCAACUUAUUGGUAUUUCACACAAGAAACACCCAUCUAGCUCAUCUAAGCAUUUCCUUUCUUUAUAUCCGAAAACCCAUUUUCUCAUUUGAAAACACACUCACACAUUUAUCCUUUAAAUAAACCAUUGUAGUCAUGAUUGAAUUGAGUAACAAGGUCCUAAGGAUUCUAGCAGUAAUUAUUAUCCAAACAGAGCAAAUAAUAUUUAGAGAUAAUUAUAGGACAAUCAAGGACUGUUCAUAACAAUCAAGGGGUGGCUAUCCAACCGUGUUUCAGCAGUAAAACAAUAUGCAAUUUUAUAAAAUAGGUCAAUAGGUUGUGUUUGAAAAACUAGGAUAAAUUAAAUAUGCAUCAAAGGGUGAGAUUGGACUUGCCGUCCUCGUAGUUGGCCCGGAGUUCUUGCUCACGGUGCUGGUCCUUAGGCUCGGGCUCGCGGUCAAACUCCUCCUCGUGCUCCUCCUCAGGUAUUAUGUGAUCUACGGCACACACAACGAGCACACAAUAAAAGAAAAUUAAAGUUUUACCCGUUGAGCUUCGAACAGAGAACGCGAACGGAAAAUAGAAGGAAUGAGUAUUUUUAUGAGAUUUGGAGAUGACUCGGUGGAAGUAUAUUUGAGGAUGAUGUGGUCGAAUUUGGGAUUAAUUGGAGGAAGUUUGGCGCAUAAAAUGAUGAGAUAACCGUGUAUUUAGGGGUCAAAACAAGGCUUUGAACCCAACCGUAAGAACCAGGGGCCUAUUUGUGAAGAUUUCUAGGUGGUGGAGGGACAUAUCCACGAGAAUUUCUUGAGAGUGGUGGGAGGACUGGCUGGUGAAUAUGGGAAAGGUGGGGGUUAGAUCGAAAAGGGGGUGUUUUUCUUCUUCUCUUUCCUCGGUUCAGGAACAGAGAAGGUGGGGGAGGGGAUUCAGGGUGGGCCGGCCGGCCGAGCCUCGCCGGCGGCGAGCCGAGUGGUGGGGGAGGUAGAGGAGGGUGAGGGGGUUCCGUUUGUGCCUUCACCUUGGGCGAGUGGCGGUAAGGAAGGGGGCGCCGGUGGUGGCUUGGUGGCGGUGGCGCGCGGUGCUUUGGUGGCGGCGGUGUUUGGUGAGGGGCGACGCACGGGAGGCAGGGGCGACGAGCUGGGUGGCGAAGGAGGCUGGGCGUCGCCUCCCCUUUUAUAGGCAGCGGGAGGAGUAG
Molecule: long non-coding RNA, 2824 nt
Filed under: Setaria italica (foxtail millet)
Lineage: Eukaryota; Viridiplantae; Streptophyta; Magnoliopsida; Poales; Poaceae
Description: long non-coding RNA (SITA_LNC002170)
Source: RNAcentral